GUUUCUGUAGUGUAGUGGUUUAUCACGUUCGGCUAACACGCGAAUGGUCCCCCUGUUUGAAUCCGGGGCAGAAACCA
This is a non-coding RNA of Merluccius polli (Benguela hake), 77 nucleotides long. The record is from the annotation of a GenBank genome assembly. Lineage: Eukaryota; Metazoa; Chordata; Actinopteri; Gadiformes; Merlucciidae.